Molecule: ribosomal RNA, 170 nt
Filed under: Phaeosolenia platensis
Lineage: Eukaryota; Fungi; Basidiomycota; Agaricomycetes; Agaricales; Chromocyphellaceae
Description: 5.8S ribosomal RNA
Rfam family: 5.8S ribosomal RNA
About the family: 5.8S ribosomal RNA (5.8S rRNA) is a component of the large subunit of the eukaryotic ribosome. It is transcribed by RNA polymerase I as part of the 45S precursor that also contains 18S and 28S rRNA.
Source: RNAcentral
UACAACUUUCAGCAACGGAUCUCUUGGCUCUCGCAUCGAUGAAGAACGCAGCGAAAUGCGAUAAGUAAUGUGAAUUGCAGAAUUCAGUGAAUCAUCGAAUCUUUGAACGCACCUUGCGCUCCUUGGUAUUCCGAGGAGCAUGCCUGUUUGAGUGUCAUUAAAUUCUCAAA